GUCAAUGAUGGUGAAGGUAAUGCCAGGCUGCAACCCACAUCACCCAGCUGGGGCUAAAGUCCCGAGCAGCUCCAUGUCCCCCUGGAGGUUUGGGUGAUGAUGGGGAAGCGGCGUCGCGAGGUCAGGUGGCUACUGCUCAGGUCCACACCUGGAGGCAUCACUGCUGGCCUUGGCCACCACCCCUGGCGAAGUGCUUCAGGUCCCUGCCAGCAUCAGAGGAGGAUGAGGGCUGCCUUGCACCCACCCCACGGGCUCCCAGCCCCCACUGGCCCCCAGGGACUCUGGUAAGGCCUUCAGGGAAAUCAGAGACUCCUCUGGAGAUGGUUUUUUUUAUUUUCCAUGUACUGGUGGGUAUUUCCAAGGCAAGGUAGUGUGAUACAGGCAGGCAGAUAUUAGUCACCGCUGCAGACUUUAAAAAGUGAAAACAUGAAGUUGAAAGCUACCAAACCUACUUCCCAAAUCCUACCUGAAAAGUAGUAAAACUCACUUAAAAAGGCACAAAAAAAGUAAAAGUUCCAGCUUUGCUUCCUUGGGUCUGUUUUUUGUUGUUGGUGGUGGUGUUUUUGGAGAAACAUCAUGCUUUAUUCUGAGAAAGAGGAAGCGCUGGGGCCAUUGGCUCUGCGGGGCUGUGCAUCUCCCAUGGGUGCCCCUUGGGAGAGCAAAGAUAGGGGGUGAGCCCCAGCACCCCUGGUGGCAUUGGGCAAUGCAACAGUGAUGCUGAGGUUUCUGUGGCAGGGCCAGGACGUGCAGGAGGAGACACAUGGGUGAUACAGGAGAGGAGAAGCCUCCCCUUAUCCUCACCCUCCGCCCUGUUAGGGCUUUGCACGGAUGGGUUUGGGCACAGGGCUGAUCCCCACUUCUGCACAGCCACAUCCCGCCGGUGAGCUUGGUCUCAGCUGCACCCAAAAAGACACACCGGCCAUAGCGGCUCUUUUCUUUAUUUAACCCUCCCCGACCCCAGGAUGGAGGAGCCACUUCCACAUUUUCUGCCGGCCAUGGCCAAAAAGCACUGGAGCCGUUUCUGCUCUCCCUGCCCAGCCGGUCUCACUUGCAGAUGCUCAAACCACACGCACCUUUGCCCAGCCCGGCCCAACACAGAUGGACACGGCUAAAAAUACCUACAAACACCGCCUGGCCACAGGCGUCUUGCGAGGGUCUCACAGCCAGAGCAGCUGGGACCGAGAGGACAGGCUAAAAAUAGGGGUGCGGUGUGCGUUUCAGAAGAUCCCGAAACAUAAGGUGAAACUCGGUCCGGGUUAGCGGAAGAGCUGAGUGUGUCGAAGGGCUUAUUUCUGCUCAGAAGGGCUCAGCAGGAGAAACGUGGGAGCCUGGUAGAUCUUGUGCAUGGACUUAGUGGGCUAUCACCAUCACCUCCGUGCAUCACCCGUGCUUGCUGUCUGGAGUCACCGCCCAUGCAAGGGGCUGCCUUCUUGGGGACCAGAGGUGCUAAACCUUUGUCGUACACACAAAUUUUCUUUGGGGGAUGAAAAACUGGAGGUUUGGCUCCCUUGCUUCGUCCAGCUGGUGUAGGCUUGCAUGCAGCCCAGAAUCCCCCUGUAGCUGCACGCAUGCCUGACAGAGUCUGUGCAAAUCAGCUGAGCCCCAUCCUGCCCCAGAGGAUGCUCAAGCCCUUCACCCUUUUAUAAGGACGGCAGCUGGAGCAGGGGCAAAUCUUUCUCUGAUGUUUCCAGCCAUGGGCCACGAGUGGCAUUCCUGAAGGUGUGUGGUCCUGUCCAGGUCCCCUCAACCCACCACCGAGCUCAGGGGAGACCAUCGCAGCCCUGUCCCCACCAGCCUUGCACAAACCGCUGGUCCUUCUCCUUCCUUGCACUGGGUGAAAUCAGAGCUGUUAUUUCAAAGAGCAGCUUGUGAUUUAUCACUGUAAUCUCAACCACAAGUUGAGCUGGAGUAGUUAGGGGAGCCACGAGGAAUGAGAGAGAAGGGUUAGCUAUUAAUUUCUGCAUCCUCUAUGCUCUUGAGGUUUUUAUUUCUUCUGUGCAAGAGCAAGGAAAUAUGGGUUUCUGCUGAGUAAAGAGGAGAAAAUGAAAAGGAAAAAAAAUUGCCCAGGAUUUGUGCUGAAGUAGCUCAUGUUGGGCCGUUUCUUUGCAUAAUAUUAAAAAAACACCCAGCUUUCUGAACUUUGAAAGCUGAGGUCAUUGCAGAAACCGGAGGCACCAGUCCUUUCUCAGCAAGGGUAACAACCUGGGAAGGGGAGCGGGGUUGUGCUGGUGGGUCCAUGGGCAGAGCUGGGUGCGGUUUCUUCUCUCUUUCUGCCUUUCCCCCUUGUCCAUAAGUCACUUUUACAGCUCUCAGCAGUCAGGCUGGAAAGCGCAGCUUUGCGCCGAUGUUAAUGAGUCUUUAAAUCAAAGGGGCAGCGCAAGGGUUGUGUUGGCCAAAUGAAGCCUUGCAUCUCUUUGCAGAAAGGGCCAGGCUGGGGAUGCACAGCUCGGGGUGUCAGAGGUACAGAAAACUCCCAAACACUGACUGGCUGUGAGAAGAAAAGGCUGUUUUCCAGGCUUGCUGCAGACUGCGGAGGAGUCAGACAGCAUUUUAACUCGGUCUGAGGAAAUGACAAAGCAUUAACUCCCCUGGAAGGAAAGGAGGAAGAAACAGAUGGAGACGCUGCUUCUGAGCUAAAAAUACUGUUUAGAGAAGGACAUCUGCAGUGCGGCUUUGAAUGCCAAGGUCCUCAGUGUUUGGGCUGUUCUACUUCAGAUGUCACCUCCUGACGUUGGGAGAGGUAGGAAGACUGGAAAUGAAAGUGAAAGAUUGUAGCCAUUCCCUUUUCCCUGGAAAUACUUCAUUCAGCUUCAUGGGUUGCAACGAAAUGGAAAGGAAAUCUCAUUUUCAACUUGUGAUGCAGGGCAGGGGACACCCCCGAGCUGGCCCUCCCAGUCUGGGAUCCCCGUGCGGUGGAUCUGGACUGGCACCAGCUGCUGGAGGCCUUAUGGGGAUGUGGGAGUUGCCAAGAAGUCUGAUGAGCCAUUCAUAAAACUUCUGGGAGAGUAUUUGUGAAAGCCAAGCAUUCCGCCCCCACCCAGCAUCGAAUAAGUGACCUUUGUCUUGUCUUUUAUUUUCACUUUCGAGCUCUUGCCUUCCAGAGGUCAAGCAGUUUAUAAAACUUGGCAGCAUUAAAGAGGCAGGAUUAAUCCUCCCAGUUAUUUUAUCUUGCUGGCCACCAUGUUAUCUUGCUUUUGCCAGGGUUAGUAAUUACGCAAAAAAAAAAAAAAAUGUUCCAAAAUGCCGCAAGUCAGACCCCAGAGAACCCAGGAAAUUUGUGUUAAAAAGCACAAUCUUUGCAAAAAUACCCUUUUUCAUCUUUGCCUCUCCAUUUGGAGAGUCUUUGCAGUUCUUGUUUUUCAAAAAAAGGAACAAUUCUGAUGUAACGACAGGAGUCCAGGAGCUGGAGAUUUAUGGGGGAAAAAAAUAACAAGUAUUGUACAGCUCAUCGUAAAGCGGUAAGAAACCACCUGUGCUUCCCUCAGGCCUUGUUAAAUCAGCUCUGCAAGAAGGCACUGUCGCUUUGCUUCUUGAAUAUGGUUUGUUUUAUAAGAUUAUAUCCAUCUGGGGCAAAGGAGUGGGCGAGCUGGGCCAUAAACCUCCAUCAACUAUAACACGUCCCUGUUAUUUAACCCCUAAUUAUUUAACCCCUAUAGUAGGAUGCGGUAUCUCUUAUCAGGGGUGAGUGGGAACACCACCUCCCCCGUGCACUGAUAGCAGCAACACCCCCUCAUCCGGAGUUAAACAUUAAUGAGCUGUCACAAUGCUGGAUUACCAGGAAUCUGUUGAGCUAAGGUCAUCCUUAGGGAUGAAUGAUGAAGUUUAUUUUAAAUAUCUGUGGGAUAUGGUGGGUCAGGGCUUGGAGGGAAGACUCACGCGAGUGUCAGCAGUCCCUACCACGGCUGAGGUCUCUCUUGGCUAAUGUCAAGGCUUCAUCAGACUUCUUGCUUUGGUCUUGUGGUCCAGCGGCUGCUUCCUUCCAGAUGUUUAAAGGAAAAAAGCCAGAGAGGCAGGGGGAAGGCUUGGUUUCUGAAAGCCCUUUCAGCGCUGCCUUUAUUGCUGCUAAUGGUGUGGCACAUGGUAUUCUUGUUGUUCACGUGAACCUCUUCAGAUGGUGGCUCCAUCUGAAAGGGUGUGUGGCAGUGAGCUCCCCCGUCUAAUUACCUCUGCCAAGCAAAAGUGCUGCCCUUUGGGGGUGGGGGUUAAUUUCCCAUCUAUUCCUUUCACCUAAUGGCUCCUUGUGCUUAGAGUACAAGCCAUGAAAACAACUCUUAAUCUACCUCCUGCCUCCCACCAAUUAUUGAAUACCUGGAUUUUAUUCCUUCUCGUUUGUCUUUCUAACUACCCUAAUUUUUCCAGUUUCUCUCAUCAGCGUUUUCCCAAGCUCUUUAUUGUUUUCUGAUUGCUGUAAUUCUGCAAUAUCUUUUGGCACUAAAGCACGGCUCCCCAGAGGAAGAGGCUCAUGAAUUUAUACAGCGACAUUAUGCAGGCUUUUCAGAUGAGUCUUGGGGCUGAUUUGGAUGCCCAGAAAGGCUCCUUCUGUUCCUGCCUCUCCUGUCGCUUCAUCCCUUUAAUGAGCGGAUGCGCAGAAAUUAGAAAGUAGAAAUUGCUCAAGCAGUUUGCUAUAAAGAGCCAUGAAAGUCUGGGUCAAAAAUUUUGGAGACUAAAUGCUUGGUCUCCUCCAUCCUUCCUCACUCUCUACACCUCUGACUCGGCAGGGCACUUCUCUCUUCAUUUGUCAAGACAAGAGUUUCAGCCUGGGAGGAAAUUUUCCCCGUGGUACUAAUUUUUUCUUCUUCUUGCAACUGAAGCACAUUUGAGAAUUUGUUCCUGAAACUUCCCAUGUUCUAAUUUUACAUGACGGGGCUGUCAGAAGCAGCGCACGAGAGAAACAAGAUCUCCUCCACAGCUUUGGGGUGACUGUGCCGCCUUAGGAGGGAUGAAACUCAGAGGCUUUUCCCCUGCUCAUUAAUGCCAAAUUUCCUACCUUGGCUCCAGGGAUUUUAUGUGACAAAGACUCAGCCUGAGCCCAACACGACAUUCGACAUCGGUUAAAUCCUCUUUAAGUGAUACUACCUCUUUUUUCUCACCUGGCAGAGGAAUCUGCCUUCUGAGCAAACACUUGAAUGAAAUACGUUGGGGUGCUGAGAAUAAACACGUUCCCUGGGAACUUAUUUAUCUUACAGGGCUGCCCCAGAUUAAGGAUCAGGUGAGACAGGAGCCAAACAUUGCUCUAGGGCUGCUUCAGGCAACCUUUUCUUUCCUCUUCCAGUAAUUGUUUCUUUUCCAGUCCGAGAGUGGAAUUAAAAAAAAGAGUCGCAAAUUACAACAAGAGAUUCCGCUUGCGAAAUAUUCUGCAGUUUUUGAAAGGCAAGAGCACGCAGCUGCACGGUAAGUGCUGGUGGGUGGAUUGAGAUGCACACACUCAUGUCAGGAUCUGGUGACUUGCACUGAUCAGAGAUCAGUGUUUAGGUCCCUGAUUCUUCAUGACUGUUCCUGCUAGCUCAUCCCACUUGAAAAGACCUGAUAUUUGCAAAUCCUGUCGCUGGUGAGAACAGCUAGUGCUUCCUAAAGGUCCUCCAGGCAGAACGCUCAAGGACAGAGUGGGCAAGUGGUUUCCUUUAUGGCUUGUUAGUUAUCUGCCUUAUCUGCCUCCUCACGAGUGCAGGAUAAGAUGAGCAAAGACUAAUGUGUAAUUACUUGGCUGGGAACCAGGAGGGGCUCAGAGAAAACAUCUGAAAAUCCAAACAUCUUCAGUUCUGGGAAGGUUUGUGUUGGCACCUGGUGGUGGGGUUUGAACUCUGUUGAAUGUCAGCUAGAACCUGCAGCGUGAAUUUGCAAAUGAACCUCACAGCAAGGUUCAGUCGUGAAUUGAUGGAUGUGGGCUUGGGGUGUUGCAGUCCCAAGGGCUUUGAGGCUGAGGUCUGUAAAUGUCGUCUACUACCCACGAACAGAAAUCAGUGUCUAUCUGCUCCCACGAUUAUUGGUGGGAGGAGGAAGACCUCCUGGACUGAGGUCUCUCUGUUAGCAUUUUUCUCUCAUGCUAGUUCAACAAGAGCAACAUGGCUCCAACUCAAGGCCAAGCCUUGGCAGUCUUCCCAGAACCACAACCAGGAUCAGUCAUGGUGCCCAAUACUGUUUUCCUGGCCCCUAAUUAGUUGGUUUACAUUAGCACAGAUGUUCGGGGUGUCUGAUGGCACAUCCGCCGUUGCUCUUCAUGUCUCAUCACUCAGAAGCCUGCUGGGGCUCCAUUUUUUGGAGCCCACAAGUGUCAUCCCCUUCUGCCUGAUGAGUUUUUUCCUCUUUUCUGGCCCCGUGGUGUGUUGACAGAAGCAGGUCAUGGGACAACCUCUCACGUGGAAUGAACCGACUGCAUCUUGGUGCAGUCCAUUCUCACCUUUUUUUCCCUCAGAGCGGCCAGAUUACGACCAUAAAAGGGAAAAACGGAAUAUUGGGCGCAGAGCCCUGCGCCCAUUGGCUGAGCACCCGUUCGCAACGGUUUCGGGGGAAAUAACCAGGUCGGAGUAAUUUUUGGGCCAAGAAUAAAAACAAUGCAACAAAGCCAUGUGGUUCACCAUUGAAACCAAGGCAGGACUUUCGGUGUCGGUGCCUCCUGUUGUUCUUGGUUCCACCUGCGUGAAACUGCAGCAGGGCCCUCACUUCCACAUGGGCACAGUGUCUCAGCCGCACGCAGGUCCUGCUUCCCGUAAAACAGCUCUGCAGCCAUGACCAGCUGAUGUCACCUAGGGUAACAUCUGGUGUUGAACUGGAAGGAUCUGGUGGCCAGGUUGGCCGGGAACCAGAACUGCAACCACCUUCUGUCAACCCAUAAACCAUCUCUGCAGCCAUGACCAGCUGAUGCCACCUAGGGUAACGUCUCCUGGAGGUGAACUGAAAGGAUCUGGUGGCCAGGCUGGCCAGGAACCAGAGCUGCACACACCUCCUGUCAACCUGGUGGCCUUCUGAGUUGGGAAAGCCCAAGCACCAGCUUCCUGUGGUUGGAUACCUAUAUCCAUGCCUGAAAACCAGCAGAACAAAGUACCUUCAUGCCUGAACAUGUCUUCCACCCAACCCUUGUGAGACCAUUUGCAUAGUUAAAAACAGGACUUUAACCUCCUGAGACACUCGCCUAAAAUGUGCCACCAGCUCUGAGUUACAAGAUUUAAUAAAUACAAUAAAAAAAGUCUGAGAGGGUUUCCUGGAAACUUUGGCAGCCUUGCCUUGGGAGCAGAGCAGAUGUUGGCAGCAAGCAAAGUUCUUGUAAGCUGUAAAGUAAUUUUCCUAUUUAAUGGUUAGCUUGAGAAAUCUGAUGGCUGGAUUAGGGUAUUUGUGCUCAGGCACAUGGAGAGCUGAAGUAUCAGCUUCACCCCUUCUGGGAAGGCCACGCCUGUGUAAAUUCUUCACUUGUUGCCUUCAUCCAAUAAGAACAAGAUGGUUUUACGGUUAAUGCUGUUCUUGGAGUUGGAAUUGGGCUCCUGUCACUGAGCCGAUUUCUGCCUUGCCUUGUGUGCUGAGGGUGGCAGCUGGGCCAUCUGCAACAGGGAGCGUCUCUUCUGGAAGGCAAACCCAACUGCCUGCAGAAUGAGCCAGCAGCCUGGCCACCAUGCUGGAGGAUGUUUGCAUUAAUCACCUCCCAGAAGAAGUGUCUGGCAGCCUUUGGUUCCUUCCUUAAACUGAAACAGGGUGUUGGUCCCCCCUCGCUGGCUGCUCCAGGCAGCAUCAAGUUGAUAAUCUGCUCAUUUGGCGAGUCUGUCCAAGUCCAGGGAUGAUGAGCCUUGCAGGUGGCUGCGCAGAUGCCGCAGCUGGCUCUUUUCAUCCCUUGCUUCAACUUUCCUCCCCAUUCCUCCUUGCAUGCUCCCUUCCCUCCCAGUCUCCUCCCUUUCCUCCAGGCAACUUGUUUUGGAUAAGCACUGAUGAUGCUGUAGAUGCUCCUGCACCAUCACCCCACCUCUCCCUCUUCAUCAGGCCCCUUCCUCUGCUCUUGCCCCAGUCCCAGGUACCUUUUGCUGUUCCGCAGUAGCAGUGCCUGGGUUCUCCUCACUCCACCACUUGCUGCAAUUUCUCUGCCUGUUACCACUGCAGCUAUUUCUUCAGUGGUGACCGCAGUGGUGAGCCCCAGGACCUAUCGCAGCAUCACAAGUCAUGGUGUUGGCCCCACAAAACCAGAGGGGAAGCACAGUGCCUUACUCAUUGGCAUCGGAGUGAUGCUACCCCACCGCCUCCUUCCCAGCGGGCAGUGGUUUGGGGAGAAGGGGAAGAGGUGGCUGUGUUCAUAUCAGGGCAGAGUGCCUGCUCCGUGGGGCUGGUCUCCUCCAUGGCCAUCCACCCAACAUCUUGGGGCUCUGCGAAACCAGCCUGGGCUGCAAGAGCCACAGUCCAGAUAAAGCAUCUUUUGCAAGUCUGGGAUGAAGGUGGUGUUUGAAGGUUUGUUAUCAGCGUGGUUCAGGGUAACGCUGGUGGUAAAGCAGCUUUGAAAAUUGCAGCGGGGACUUGGGUAGAACCAGCCCAACCAGAAGUUGCUGCUUGCUCCAUUUUAGUACAUAGACUUGAAUCAUCAGGUCCUUGGGUCUAAACUACGCUGUUCUGCAGUAUACGUGAAAAAACUUGCUGGAAGUACCGCUUAAGCACUAUGUGUAUUUCAGAUAUACCCUUCUCCUUGGAGAAUAAUACCGCCCCAGAGCAGAGUUGUGCUGAUGUCCCCAUUGUGCAGACAGCAAACAGAGGCCAGGGGACACGGCAGGAUUUACCCCAGGCUGCAAAGGAAGCCUGUGGCAGAAGCACAGUGAGUCUGCCUCCAGCUCCCAGCCUAAGCAGGCUCUAGUCUCCCAGACCACAGGUUUCCUUUCCAGCCCCUCAGCCCUAACCCCAAACCAGCCUGCAGAGAGCAAGAGGGAAUUGCACAAACCCCUUGGCUGCACUUCAGAGAAUGUCCCUGAGUACCACCUGGGUACCCCUGGGAUAGUGGCAAGCCCAAGUCCCAGGCGCAGCCCAGAUCCUGUGCAAGGGACACCUGGCCCUGCUCCAAGCAGCCAGGGAGAGUGAGCUAGAAGCUCUUAAGGAUAAUACAGAUCCUUCAAAAGGCAGUAUCCCUUAUCAAAGGGCCACUUUUCCCCAGCAGGAUGGGGACACUGCCACCAUGCUGGGCGACACAUUGCACAGCGCCUGCAGACGGGCAAUAAAGCCAAGCAAGAUGCAGCAGGGCUAACUACAACAGGCAAAUGAGCAUUGAAAAAAAUAAUAAUAAUAAAAAAAAAGCUUUAAAUACAUGACAGCUUGGUUGAGUCCCUGUUCCUGUAUUUGCUUAGCUGAGGGCUAUCUUUAUAAGACCUCGCUACCAGAUGUUCCUGCAUUUGCAUGUGGGGUGAAGGGAAGGGAUGCUCAGCAGGUCCCAGGGGUGCUGGCUCAGUGCUGGAGCCAGAUGGCGAUUGCCACCCAGUGGCUGUGCGCGCCACGCUGCCUUUCUGCCUUGCAAAGUCCCUAAAAAUAAAGCAUCACUUCUGCAAGCGCAGAUCUUUUUGGCAGCUGAAGCUGUUGCUUUUCUCUUCAUUAGCGAUGGUGAAGCCUGCAGCACAGUCGGUUUGUUC
Molecule: long non-coding RNA, 9584 nt
Organism: Falco peregrinus (peregrine falcon)
Lineage: Eukaryota; Metazoa; Chordata; Aves; Falconiformes; Falconidae
Exons: 3
Source: RefSeq, a predicted model, not a curated record